GAUCAUGGCUCAGAACGAACGCUGGCGGCAGGCUAACACAUGCAAGUCGAGCGGACCCCUCGGGGUCAGCGGCAGACGGGUGAGUAACACGUGGGAAUCUACCCAUCUCCAGGGAAUAACUCAGGGAAACUUGUGCUAAUACCCUAUACGUCCUCCGGGAGAAAGAUUUAUCGGAGAUGGAUGAGCCCGCGUUGGAUUAGCUAGUUGGUGAGGUAAUGGCUCACCAAGGCGACGAUCCAUAGCUGGUCUGAGAGGAUGAUCAGCCACACUGGGACUGAGACACGGCCCAGACUCCUACGGGAGGCAGCAGUGGGGAAUAUUGGACAAUGGGCGCAAGCCUGAUCCAAGCCAUGCCGCGUGAGUGAUGAAGGCCUUAGGGUUGUAAAGCUCUUUCACCGAUGAAGAUAAUGACGGUAGUCGGAGAAGAAGCCCCGGCUAACUUCGUGCCAGCCGCAGC
Molecule: ribosomal RNA, 457 nt
Filed under: uncultured bacterium
Lineage: Bacteria
Description: bacterial SSU rRNA
Rfam family: Bacterial small subunit ribosomal RNA
Source: RNAcentral